GGAAAUGUGGCUUAGUGGUAGAGUGCUUGCCUAGCAUUCAUGAAACCCUGGGUUCGAUUCCUUGGUUCCA
Non-coding RNA from Dipodomys ordii (Ord's kangaroo rat), 70 nucleotides. NCBI's taxonomy places the organism in Eukaryota, Metazoa, Chordata, Mammalia, Rodentia, Heteromyidae. The record is from Rfam.